Molecule: long non-coding RNA, 1781 nt
Organism: Bos taurus (domestic cattle)
Lineage: Eukaryota; Metazoa; Chordata; Mammalia; Artiodactyla; Bovidae
Source: Ensembl
UGCCCCUGCGGCGCGCUGCAUUCUGGGCUGGCCGCUCGGCCUCGCCGGCUGGUUGACCGCGGCGCACGCGCGCUGCGUCGUUCCGCGUCUGCGCCCCCGCGGCGGUAGCGCGGGCGUGAGGUGGCCGUGCGGCUGGAGAGGACUCCGCAGGGUCGCCUGGCACCUCCCUCCCGGGCCUCUGGGGACGGGCCCCGCCGGGGAACGGGGGGCGUCGGCGGCCGGGCCUAUCCGGCUGAGCCCCCUGCUCGGGCUCGGCCCAGUCCGGGCUGUCGCACGCCACACCAAGAACCCCGGCUUCAGGGCGGCGUCCCUGGUACGCGGGUCCUCCCCGCUGGCCGCUCAGGCGCUUGCUCCCGGGCGGCAGAGACUGCGCACCCCCGACCUUUGUGCCCCGCCUCCCCCUCCCCACAGCUGGUCGUCGGGGGGUCGAUGAUGAGAGGUCAUCCCAGGGCACCACUUGGCGAGGUCCUGCACCUGCAGCAGUGUGCGCCUGUUCUCCGCGGUGCGGGAGUGUGGAACUCCUGAUCAAAGCCGGCGCCCCAGUCUUCAGCAGCUGCUGGAAUGGCAGUCUCCCCAGGAGGCUCCCCCAACACUCAGCCCUUACUGUCAAGAGGAAAUAGCUUGCCAGAGCUGCCAGGGUUCCACCUGGCCUGAGACCGGGCGGAGCAGGAGGCAGUGGCCAGCCAAUGGGCACGAGAGUCAGUCAGCAGGACUUCAAACAGCAAUGCUGCUCCCCUGCACUUGGGAUGGCACCCUUGGCCCAGCCGGGUGGAGUGGAAAGGAGAAAACCAAAACGAGGGUCGUCACAGAGGGGUGGGGGCGCCGAGCCUGGGGCCUCCGGGCACCAUCUCUGACGCUGUCUGCAAACUGGGCAGGGUACAGUGUUAGAGAAACUUGUUUCUCAACCAUCAGUAGCUUUACUGGGUUUCCUGAUUGCUAUAGAAAGAAUGUAUGCUCCCUGUAGCCAUUUCAAGUCUAUAAAAACAAGUACAAACUAACAGAAAUCUGGCGUCCUGGUGGCGGCUGGGAACACCCUUAAUGCCACAUGAAGUCUGCCUUCCUGCCCCGCCUCUCUUCAGGCUACAGUCAGAAUGCAGAAGCUGGUGCAGUGAGUUUAAAAUGAGCUCUUUCUGCCUUUUGCUUUUUUCUCUUUGGGAGGCUCCCUUUUCCACCCCACACACUGUACAUAAACUUUCAUAGUCGCUGCACAUUUACACAAGUGUCAUUUGUGUCAAUUUACACCUUUUUACGGAGAAGGCAACGGCACUCCACUCCAGUGCUCUUGCCUGGAAAAUCCCAUGGACGGAGGAGCCUGGUGGGCUGCAGUCCAUGGGGUCGCUGAGGGUCGGACACGACUGAGCGACUUCACUUUGACUUUUCACUUGCAUGCCUUGGAGAAGGCAAUGGCACCCCACUCCAGUGUUCUUGCCUGGAGAAUCCCAGGGACGGGGGAGCCUGGUGGCCUGCAGUCUAUGGGGUCGCACAGAGUCGGACACGACUGAAGCGAUUUAGCAGCAGCAGCACACCUUUUUACUCAAGUGACAGUUGAGAGAAAACAAGGUGGGAUGUCCGGGAAGCACACCUGCUCCACUGGGGGAGGCUAGAGGAUCAGGUUAGGAAUCGGGUUAAGGAGUCAGAAUACCGGAAGAGGACUGUCAGGACUGUGUGCUGUUCGGCCACGCCCCAGGUGAAGGCGGGCAGAACUGGAUUGGACCAGGUUGCGGUUUUGCCCAGAGGUGUGAUGAAGGGAGAGGGCGGAGUCACGGUGUGUGCAAGACAGG